Molecule: non-coding RNA, 230 nt
Organism: Candidatus Accumulibacter
Lineage: Bacteria; Pseudomonadati; Pseudomonadota; Betaproteobacteria
Source: Rfam
CGAGACGGGAAUCGGAAUGGACAAGCUCCGGUAGCAUGAGGAAGCGGCGCCGUGGCGACACGGGGUCGUGAGUUUCCAACAGCAAGAGAGCAGGCCGUAACGCAAGUGAACCUAUGAGUAGCCUCGUAAAUUAUGUGGAGGAGCCGACCCUGUGGUCAGAAGGGGAAGGCCGUUGGAUGGGCGCUGGAAUAACGGAAGUGGCGUCAAUCGACUCCCGGGGUAGCAGGGAU